GACGAACGCUGGCGGCGUGCUUAACACAUGCAAGUCGAACGGAAAGGCCCUGCUAUUGUGGGGUGCUCGAGUGGCGCACGGGUGCGUAACACUUGAGUAUCCUGCCCUUGACUUUGAGAUAACUUCAGGAAACUGGGGCUCAUACCGGUUCGGAGCUCCUGCUGCAUGGUGGGGGUUAGAAAGUUUGGGCGGUUGGGGAUGGACUCGCGGCUUAGCAGCUUGUUGGUGAGGUAGUGGCUUACCAGGGCUUUAACGGGUAGCCGGCCCGAGAGGGUGACCGGCCACAUUGGGAAUGAGAUACGGCAGAGAGUCCUGCGGGAGGCAGCAGUGGGGAAGAUUGCACAAUGGGGCGAAGCCUGAUGCAGCAACGCCGCGUGCGGGAUGACGGCCUUCGGGUUGUAAACCGCUUUCGCCUGUGACGAAGCGUGAGUGACGGUAAUGGGUAAAGAAGCACCGGCUAACUACGUG
RNAcentral lists this ribosomal RNA (468 nucleotides) under uncultured bacterium. Its description in RNAcentral is "partial 16S ribosomal RNA". It matches the Rfam family "Bacterial small subunit ribosomal RNA", at positions 28 to 507 of the family's 1533-position model. The record is from RNAcentral.